Molecule: non-coding RNA, 309 nt
Organism: Cricetulus griseus (Chinese hamster)
Lineage: Eukaryota; Metazoa; Chordata; Mammalia; Rodentia; Cricetidae
Source: Rfam
GGAUGUGGGCAAUCUGGCUGUGACAUCUGUCACCCCAUUGAUUACCAGGAUCAGUUCAGUUGAGCUGGCUGGCUAGGCAGGUAUCCCCUUCCUCCAUCACUGUUCCAUGUGCAUCUCUCCCAAAUCUGCAAGAGGAAGAUCUUUCUCAGUAGAGGAGGGCCAGGUUUUGGUCAAAAAUAUAUGAGUAGCUUCAUUCCCCAGCUAGAACCUCCAACAAGCUCACAUUCUCGUUCUUAAUGAAGUUCCUCUCUGGAUUUUAAAUGGAAUCUUCUCUUUUCUUUCAAGGCUUCAUCAUGUUUUCCUGUCUGA